This is a long non-coding RNA of Acinonyx jubatus (cheetah), 4297 nucleotides long. RefSeq lists it as uncharacterized. Lineage: Eukaryota; Metazoa; Chordata; Mammalia; Carnivora; Felidae. The record is from RefSeq and is a predicted model, not a curated record. The transcript is spliced from 4 exons.
AAUCGAGGCCAAGUGGAGAGGGUGGGGCUGUGAGGGGGGCCUGGGAGGAUGGGACCAGAGAACAUGAUGCCUGGGCUCUGCCUGCCUGAUAAUUGAACAGUCUCAGACCUCAAGCUCCCUCUCUGGACCCAGUGCUAUUACUUAAACAACAACAACAACAACAACAACAACAACAAAACUUCUCAUUUAUCUUUCCAGGAUCCUAGAAACAAGAAAAUGCAGAAGAAGGUGGGUAAAAUCUAUUUCAGAUGGCCUCUGCCCCUUUCCCUGUCUUCUUUGUCCUCUUGCCAUGCAAGGAGGGGGGAGAAAACUGAGCUGCCUUUUUCCACCUCUUUUUAUUUAUUUUUUGUAUUUAUUAUUUUUUAUUUUCAGCCUGAUCUAUAUCCAGCCUGUUCCUUGAGAAGACAGAGUUCAGGAAACGCUUCCCACAAUACCCUCCAUAAAAGCUUACCAAAACAACUCAUUUAACCAACAAGGCCAGAGCGCAAGCAAUGAAACCAGAGAGAAUAGCAAGUCUGGUUUAACAAUCUUCCCAAAGGAACAAAGAGGAAAGGCAAUUUGUGCAUUGGAAAUUAAAACUGACGAAAAUGAUUCUGUUUUGGAUUAUCCUGGAUUGUAAGAAUUAAGGACGAAAGCACCCACCCACCGAAAUGGCUGGUGUGAAAAAGACUAGCCACACCCCGUGUUGGUGAUGAUGUGUCACAAUUAGACACGUGGGCCUCAUCGGGGGGAGUGUAAAUUGGUCCAACCAUUUUGGAAACCUGUUUGCAUCUACUUAGAGGUACGUAUAUGCCGCCCCGACCCAGAAAACGCACUCACAGGUCUGUACCCAAGGGAAAUCGAUGCCCACACCACGACAAGACAAUGUGCUAGAAUGUUCACUGCAGCUUAGAUCCCAAGAGGCAGAUGCUGGAAACCACACAGGGGUCGGUCAGCAGUGGGACAGGUAAGUGGCAUGGGAUUCAUACGGUGGAAUGCUGCACAACGAUGAAAAAGCACAUAAACUACGCUCCGGUGUGACGGCAUGGAUAAAUCUCACAGAUGGAAUGAGUGAACGAAGCAAGACAAAUACACAGGGCACAUCUCGUAUGGUUCCUUUCGUGUGAAGUUCAAGAACCGUUGGAAUUAAUACUCAGGGACAGAGGUCAGAGCAGCGGUGAUCUGAACGGGGGGGUUGAAUAUGGAUUGUCGGGGACCAUUGGGGAACCUCCUAAGGUGCUGGAAAUGUGCCACGUAAUCUGGGUCAUGUACCCAGAUACAUACCUAUGGACAAACUCAUCAGCUUUUACACUUAUAAUUUGCUCAUUGAGUGUAUGUUAUACCUCAAUUUAAAAAACAAAAACAAAAAACGAAAAAAAACCCUUGUAGAUGAAGGUGACACCCUUCUUUGUCUUUGUUCUUAUCCCAGGGGCUCAUCGAGCAGCGAAAACACUGUUCCCACAGUUGGAUAAUUCAGUUCCCUAGAAGAUGAUGACGGACAGCUCACCGUGUGAGAUAAAAACCAUGGCGAAGCAGGCUGCCCCCGCCACCAGGUUUGACAGGGCCAACGGGCGGAUGAGGCCGCAGCGGUCAAUGGUGACGAGGAUGAUGAAGGCCGCCGGGAAUUCAACCAGAGCCGAGUACAAGAAAUCCAGGUAGAGGUUCGCACCCGUGGCGCCCACGUGCAUGAUGAGGCCCUGGUAGAGCACAGAGCUGGUGAACCUGGGCACGGAGGGGAGGCGGAGUGUAAGGCAGAGUGUCUGUGGGACAGUAGGGAGGGAGGAUUCUGGCAGCGAAGACAAAGGUCCCUACGAGCUGGAGAGGAGCGUGGGUCCCUUGAUUUAGAAUGUCCGAGAGCAAUCCGAGAAGAGGGGAUAAUCGUCAGGAAGGACGUCCCAGAGGGGCCCUCAGGGAGCAGCUCCUCUCAGAUUUACGUGAGACAAUGACUUCCAGGACAUAAGCACGUGUCCCAGAGACCCUGACUGUUUCCUGCGACCUAGCGGCCUGGCCCCGCGCGGAGCCCUGCACGGGCCUUACUUCGUCUAAUCCUCCGGCAGCUACAAGGAGGCGGGUGGGAGAAGGUGGGUGAGAAGGUUCAGUAAUCAGGCCUGCUAUAUGAGCCGUGUGACCCGAAGUAACUUAGCUAAGCCCUCUGUGCCUCAAUUCCCUCAUCAGCAAAUGGAAUAAGGUCUUCCGGGAACACUCAGGCAAGUCCCAUCCCGCCCAAACAUGGAGACUCGGGCAAAGCGACCUCUCCCUUGUUCCACCCUGACGAGGGGACAGCCGUUCUGACCACGGACGUACAGGCGUAGAGGCCAGCCUUCGUUUAGGGAGACUGGGUGUACUUCAGUGCCACCCACAGGAAGUACCUGGUGGGCUUCCUGGCACCGAAAGAGCACUCGGCAAAGAUGAGCAGUAAUUGGCAUCGGCGUCUCCCCAAGGUCAAGUACGCAGAGAGAGCAGGGCAGAUACUGGCCAAGUCUCUCCAGCUGCACAGUGGCGUUGUCCCCCUGUCUUCCACCCUGUAGCCCACCCCACGACCCAUCCAUGCGUUGUCCAGGGGAGAAUAGCAGUGUCACAGAACAAGGCACCUAGACCGAUGGGGACCAGCUAAGUGGCUCAGAGAGACUUCAGAGAGUUCCACGUGUCCUUUUAGGUGACAUUGUAUGAUUUCGGAGGCUGGACACAUUUUAUGACACUCUGCAUGCAGAGAACCACUGGGACGCUCUUAUUUCCAGCCCAGCCUCACUCCUGAUUGGAGAAAAGGGUGAAGGCAACGUGAAGGAAGGCGCUCGCCUGUAGCUUGAACCCAUGAACUGCAUGUGCGUGUUAGAAUGGCACGUCCUGGUACUGAGGGGGUCCCGCGUCUACAUCGGACACCGUUCUAAGCUGUUCACACAUGUCAUCUCGUGAAUCUGCCAACGCGCCUGUGAGGUGAGUCCUAUCCUGGCCCCACGUGCUGAUGAGGAGGCUGAGUCACGGAUAGUGAGGCCUUCUGGAGUCACACAGCCGGAGUUUCUGCACUGAAGGAGCAGGUGGAGGGAAGGUGUCCGGGGUCAGUACCUUGGAGGCCACGGGAAGGGAUCUGGUUUUAUCCUCAGUGGACUAGGGAGGCGUGGACAGCGGAGCGACCUGGGCUUUGCCUGCUUUGUGAGCAGCGCCUGGCGGGGGACGGCGGUGGGAGCAGACAGGACAGCUAGGCGGUACCACAACAGCACAGGCAAGAGAUCACGCCCGUCGGGAGGGGAACUGAGAGGGCAGGUGAUGCGAAACGGCAGAUUCUGAACACAUUUUCAAAAUAGAGCAGAAUUUGCUGAGGGCUGGGGUGCAGGGGUGUGAGAGCAGAGGAGCCGAAGCGCCCCCCCCUUACGAGGAGUGCGCUAGGGGAUGGAAAUGGGGGCGGCGAGUGGUAAGGGGAAGAAGGAAGGAGGGAGACAGGAGGGCACAGGCAGCAGGGGUGUUUGCAAAGGCUCCCGGGACCCAUCGUGGGGCUGGCUGCCGAACUCGGGGACCAACACGAGGUGUGGCAGGUGACUGAUGGGGCGAGGGGAAUGAGCCUGGCUGGUGUCUAAUGCAUUUAGGAUGGAUUCCGUGGAACAGUGGUUAUUCAUUCAACCUUCAGCAAAUAUUUGUGGGGUUACCAUGUGCCAGGCACCACCCUAUUAGUUUGAACCCUUAGUUCUAGUAAAACCUUAUGUGGAAGCGGAAAUGAGUUAACCAGCAGCAGGGGAAGCCCACAGUCCAGCUGUUCAGCCCCAGGUGUUAGAGAAGCAUGUCAACGACAAAGGCCCGGUAGUGGGGAGCCGACCCGAUGUCCUUUGAGGGAAGGGGGUAGAGAAUUGCAAGAUGGCAACCUGGAGGGGGGUACAGACCCUGGGGGUGGGCAGGGGCUACAUGGGUGAGUCCAUCGGUGUCCAAGCGUUCCGCAAUCAGUGGAUCAUAAAGACACAGAAACGCUCAGGGCAGGGUCUCUGAAGUUCUAAGGUGUGAGGAAGGGAUCGUCCCCUUUGGAAGCACCAGGAGCCACUGAAAUCACCUUCCAAAGUGAAAUCAAGACUCUUCUGUUCCCAGAAGAUGGACACGUGGGGUUUGAGGCAACCGUGGGAACCCUUCGUCAUGUCUCACUCAUCUUACUGUUAACCUCGCCGACGUAACAUGCUCUUCUUACUAAAAGGAUGUCUUUCCCCAUUAAUCAGUCCUCAAGGGAGGAAAAAAAGACGUCUCGCUAAGAGCUCUUUGCUUGAAAUUCAUCUAAAAAUUCCUUUUCAUGCUUCUCUUUUUCCACCGGCAUUGCUCCACUGUCUUUUUUGUAAUGUUU